CAGUGAGGAAUUUUCUGCAAUGGGCGAAAGCCUGACAGAGCAAUAUCGCGUGAGGGAUGAAGGCCUACGGGUUGUAAACCUCUUUUCUCAAGGAGGAAGAUCUGACGUUACUUGAGGAAUAAGCAUCGGCUAACCCUGUGCCAGCAGCCGCGGUAAUACAGGGGAUGCAAGUGUUAUCCGGAAUUAUUGGGCGUAAAGCGUCUGCAGGUUGAUUUAUCAGUCUUUUGUGAAAUCUCUAGGCUUAACCUAGAACCUGCAAAAGAAACUAUUUAUCUAGAGUCUAGUAGAGGUAAAGGGAAUUUCCAGUGGAGCGGUGAAAUGCGUAGAGAUUGGAAAGAACACCAAGAGCGAAGGCACUUUACUGGGCUAUGACUGACACUCAGAGACGAAAGCUAGGGGAGCAAACAGGAUUAGAUACCCGUGUAGUC
Molecule: ribosomal RNA, 428 nt
Filed under: uncultured bacterium
Lineage: Bacteria
Description: bacterial SSU rRNA
Rfam family: Bacterial small subunit ribosomal RNA
Source: RNAcentral